GACAGAGGUGCCAAGCGUUAGGCGGAAUCACUGGGCUUAAAGCGUGUGUAGGUGGAAGCGUAAGUACCUUGUGAAAUCCCACGGCUCAACCGUGGAACUGCUUGAUAUACUGCGUUUCUUGAGCCAACUAGGGGCUAUCGGAACAAGUGGUGGAGCGGUGAAAUGCGUAGAGAUCGGGAGGAACACCGGUGGCGAAGGCGGCCUUCUGGACGGUGACUGACGCUGAGGCGCGAAAGCGUGGGGAGCAAACGGG
RNAcentral lists this ribosomal RNA (253 nucleotides) under uncultured bacterium. Its description in RNAcentral is "partial 16S ribosomal RNA". It matches the Rfam family "Bacterial small subunit ribosomal RNA", at positions 524 to 776 of the family's 1533-position model. The record is from RNAcentral.